ACCACACUCUCCCGAGUGAACCACAGGCCGGCCCAAGUAUAGUACCAUUCAAAUGAAUGUUGUGAACAAAAUCAUGUUAGUUAAAUUGCCUUUAAAAUGCUUUAUGAACAAAGAUGUUACUUGUAGCAGUACUUAUAAUGGUAAAAAGUUAGCAACAUUCUUAUGUACAACAGUAAGAGAUUGGUCAAAUUCUGUCAUGUAAGCUGAGUGGAAUAUUAUCUAGAUAUUUUAAAAAGUCAAUUGUCUUUCUAAUGGUAAAUGUUUAUUUUCUACGUUAAAAGAGCAUUUUAUGCCGUAAGCCCCAAUGGUGUGGUAUUAGUAGGUGGAAUCUUUGAGAGGUGAUUAAGUUGUGAGGGUGGAGCUCUUAUGAUGGAAUUAAUACCUUUGCAAGAGACAAUAGAGAGAUUGCUUCCCUCGCUCUGCUCUUCACCAUGUGAGGACACAGCAAGAAGAUAGACAUCUGCAAACCAGGAAGAGGGUUCUCACCAGAACCCAAUCAUCGGGGCACUCUGAUCUCUUGAUUUCCUAGCUCCAGAACUUUGUGAAAUAAAUUUCUGUUGUUUAAGUCA
Long non-coding RNA from Galeopterus variegatus (Sunda flying lemur), 569 nucleotides. RefSeq lists it as uncharacterized. The transcript is spliced from 2 exons. The record is from RefSeq and is a predicted model, not a curated record. Lineage: Eukaryota; Metazoa; Chordata; Mammalia; Dermoptera; Cynocephalidae.